GCAUAUCAAUAAGCGGAGGAAAAGAAACUAACAAGGAUUCCCUUAGUAACGGCGAGUGAAGAGGGAAGAGCUCAAAUUUUAAAUCUAUCAUGUUUGUACAUGAUCGAGUUGUAAUUUGAAGAAGCGUUUUCUCGUACUUUAUGCAAUCAGUAUAAGUUCUCUUGGAACAGGACAUCAUAGAGGGUGAUAAUCCCGUCUGUUACUGGUUGUGAGGUUCGUUAUGAUACGCUUUCAAAGAGUCGAGUUGUUUGGGAUUGCAGCUCCAAAUGGGUGGUAAACAUCACCUAAGGCUAAAUAUUUGCGAGAGACCGAUAGCGAACAAGUACCGUGAGGGAAAGAUGAAAAGAACUUUGAAAAGAGAGUUAAAAAGUAUGUGAAAUUGUUGAAAGGGAAACGAUUGAAGUCAGUCGUGCAGUCAUCAAUUCAGCGGUUAACAUUUAUGUUUCCGUGUAAUUUGGUGUCUGUUGGUUAGCAUCAAUUUUGAUUGUUAUAAAAAGGUUAAGGGGAUGUGGCUCCUUCGGGAGUGUUAUAACCCUUAGCGUAAUGUAACGAUUAGGAUUGAGGUUUGCAACGAAUACCUUUUAGGGCAGUUUCACCUGGCCUCUCGUGGAAUUAUAGAUAGUUAAGAGCAUGCUCUUACUGUCUAUGAUUCUACGAAAAGGUUGGAGUGUAAAACUAAUUCGUUAAGGAUGUUGACGUA
RNAcentral lists this ribosomal RNA (700 nucleotides) under uncultured Glomerales. RNAcentral describes it as "LSU rRNA". It matches the Rfam family "Eukaryotic large subunit ribosomal RNA", at positions 38 to 633 of the family's 3401-position model. The record is from RNAcentral. Lineage: Eukaryota; Fungi; Glomeromycota; Glomeromycetes; Glomerales; Glomeraceae.